AUCGCUUCUCGGCCUUUUGGCUAAGAUCAAGUGUUAUAUCUAUUCUUAGCAGUUUAAUAAAUACUUUCUGUUUCAUUGCCUCUGGCAAGUGCCUUUUAAACUAUAGUAUACAGAAAAGUCACCUGUGGAGCUUGGUAAAAAUGCAGAUUUCCUAGCUGGUCUCCCCUUCUU
Small nuclear RNA from Oryctolagus cuniculus (rabbit), 171 nucleotides. Its record names the gene U2. It matches the Rfam family "U2 spliceosomal RNA". Rfam says of the family: U2 is a small nuclear RNA (snRNA) component of the spliceosome (involved in pre-mRNA splicing). NCBI's taxonomy places the organism in Eukaryota, Metazoa, Chordata, Mammalia, Lagomorpha, Leporidae. The record is from Ensembl.